GAUGAACGCUGGCGGCGUGCCUAAUACAUGCAAGUCGAGCGAACGGACGAGAAGCUUGCUUCUCUGAUGUUAGCGGCGGACGGGUGAGUAACACGUGGAUAACCUACCUAUAAGACUGGGAUAACUUCGGGAAACCGGAGCUAAUACCGGAUAAUAUUUUGAACCGCAUGGUUCAAAAGUGAAAGACGGUCUUGCUGUCACUUAUAGAUGGAUCCGCGCUGCAUUAGCUAGUUGGUAAGGUAACGGCUUACCAAGGCAACGAUGCAUAGCCGGCCUGAGAGGGUGAUCGGCCACACUGGAACUGAGACACGGUCCAGACUCCUACGGGAGGCAGCAGUAGGGAAUCUUCCGCAAUGAGCGAAAGCCUGACGGAGCAACGCCGCGUGAGUGAUGAAGGUCUUCGGAUCGUAAAACUCUGUUAUUAGGGAAGAACAUAUGUGUAAGUAACUGUGCACAUCUUGACGGUACCUAAUCAGAAAGCCACGGCUAACUACGUG
This 497-nucleotide ribosomal RNA is filed under the name uncultured bacterium. RNAcentral's name for it is "partial 16S ribosomal RNA". It matches the Rfam family "Bacterial small subunit ribosomal RNA", at positions 28 to 507 of the family's 1533-position model. The record is from RNAcentral.